This 468-nucleotide ribosomal RNA is filed under the name uncultured bacterium. Its description in RNAcentral is "partial 16S ribosomal RNA". It matches the Rfam family "Bacterial small subunit ribosomal RNA", at positions 28 to 507 of the family's 1533-position model. The record is from RNAcentral.
GACGAACGCUGGCGGGGGGAGGAACGAAGGCAAGUCGAACGGAAAGGCCCUGCUUUUGUGGGGUGCUCGAGUGGCGAACGGGUGAGUAACACGUGAGUAACCUGCCCUUGACUUUGGGAUAACUUCAGGAAACUGGGGCUAAUACCGGAUAGGAGCUCCUGCUGCAUGGUGGGGGUUGGAAAGUUUCGGCGGUUGGGGAUGGACUCGCGGCUUAUCAGCUUGUUGGUGGGGUAGUGGCUUACCAAGGCUUUGACGGGUAGCCGGCCUGAGAGGGUGACCGGCCACAUUGGGACUGAGAUACGGCCCAGACUCCUACGGGAGGCAGCAGUGGGGAAUAUUGCACAAUGGGCGGAAGCCUGAUGCAGCAACGCCGCGUGCGGGAUGCCGGCCUUCGGGUUGUAAACCGCUUUCGCCUGUGACGAAGCGUGAGUGACGGUAAUGGGUAAAGAAGCACCGGCUACCUACGUG